Long non-coding RNA from Oncorhynchus kisutch (coho salmon), 127 nucleotides. RefSeq lists it as uncharacterized. The transcript has 2 exons. NCBI's taxonomy places the organism in Eukaryota, Metazoa, Chordata, Actinopteri, Salmoniformes, Salmonidae. The record is from RefSeq and is a predicted model, not a curated record.
CUCAUAACUUCUCCUCUGAGAGUGAGCUCCUCUCCCUCACCAUCACAGGUUUGUCAUCCCAGUGACCGGCAGGCCACCCUCCAUCCCCUCGAAUCCCAGGGCCCCCGAGAGACCGGGACCCAUCCUU